This 947-nucleotide ribosomal RNA is filed under the name uncultured bacterium. RNAcentral's name for it is "bacterial SSU rRNA". It matches the Rfam family "Bacterial small subunit ribosomal RNA", at positions 60 to 1001 of the family's 1533-position model. The record is from RNAcentral.
AGUCGAGCGGGGAAAGGUAGCUUGCUACUGGACCUAGCGGCGGACGGGUGAGUAAUGCUUAGGAAUCUGCCUAUUAGUGGGGGACAACGUUCCGAAAGGAACGCUAAUACCGCAUACGCCCUACGGGGGAAAGCAGGGGAUCUUCGGACCUUGCGCUAAUAGAUGAGCCUAAGUCGGAUUAGCUAGUUGGUGGGGUAAAGGCCUACCAAGGCGACGAUCUGUAGCGGGUCUGAGAGGAUGAUCCGCCACACUGGGACUGAGACACGGCCCAGACUCCUACGGGAGGCAGCAGUGGGGAAUAUUGGACAAUGGGCGGAAGCCUGAUCCAGCCAUGCCGCGUGUGUGAAGAAGGCCUUUUGGUUGUAAAGCACUUUAAGCGAGGAGGAGGCUCCUUUAGUUAAUACCUAAAGUGAGUGGACGUUACUCGCAGAAUAAGCACCGGCUAACUCUGUGCCAGCAGCCGCGGUAAUACAGAGGGUGCGAGCGUUAAUCGGAUUUACUGGGCGUAAAGCGUGCGUAGGCGGCUUUUUAAGUCGGAUGUGAAAUCCCUGAGCUUAACUUAGGAAUUGCAUUCGAUACUGGAAAGCUAGAGUAUGGGAGAGGAUGGUAGAAUUCCAGGUGUAGCGGUGAAAUGCGUAGAGAUCUGGAGGAAUACCGAUGGCGAAGGCAGCCAUCUGGCCUAAUACUGACGCUGAGGUACGAAAGCAUGGGGAGCAAACAGGAUUAGAUACCCUGGUAGUCCAUGCCGUAAACGAUGUCUACUAGCCGUUGGGGCCUUUGAGGCUUUAGUGGCGCAGCUAACGCGAUAAGUAGACCGCCUGGGGAGUACGGUCGCAAGACUAAAACUCAAAUGAAUUGACGGGGGCCCGCACAAGCGGUGGAGCAUGUGGUUUAAUUCNAUGNNACGCGAANAANCUUACCUGGCCUUGACNUACUAANAACUUUCC